GACGAAUGCUGGCUGCGUGCUUAACACAUGCAAGUCGAACGGUGAAGGAGGGCUUGCCCUCCGGAUCAGUGGCGAACGGGUGAGUAACACGUGGGCAACCUGCCCCUCACUCUGGGAUAACGCCGGGAAACCGGCGCUAAUACCGGAUACGACCAGGCGCGACAUCUCGCCUGGUGGAAAGAAUUUCGGUGAGGGAUGGGCCCGCGGCCUAUCAGCUUGUUGGUGGGGUAACGGCCCACCAAGGCGACGACGGGUAGCCGGCCUGAGAGGGCGACCGGCCACGCUGGGACUGAGACACGGCCCAGACUCCUACGGGAGGCAGCAGUGGGGAAUAUUGCGCAAUGGGCGAAAGCCUGACGCAGCGACGCAGCGUGAGGGACGAAGGCCUUCGGGUUGUAAACCUCUUUCGGCGGGGACGAAGCGAAAGUGACGGUACCCGCAGAGGAAGCACCGGCUAACUACGUGCCAGCCGCCGCAGUAA
RNAcentral lists this ribosomal RNA (481 nucleotides) under uncultured bacterium. RNAcentral's name for it is "partial 16S ribosomal RNA". It matches the Rfam family "Bacterial small subunit ribosomal RNA", at positions 28 to 523 of the family's 1533-position model. The record is from RNAcentral.